Lolium rigidum is the source of this 511-nucleotide long non-coding RNA. RefSeq lists it as uncharacterized. The record is from RefSeq and is a predicted model, not a curated record. The transcript has 2 exons. NCBI's taxonomy places the organism in Eukaryota, Viridiplantae, Streptophyta, Magnoliopsida, Poales, Poaceae.
GCCACACAUGCAGUUCAGUUUUCUUUUGUCGUGAAGUUCAGUUCGUGUGCACUUGAAAUAUUACGAUUUGUAUAUAUACAAAUUGUAGAGAUCACAUACUCGGACAACUUCAGUACACAGUUUAUUAUUCUACAGUUCACAGACCACGCGGGAGUUCACCACCAUGCCGCCCUAGCCUGCCGCCCACCACCGCACUGCCCUGGCCUGCCACCCACCUCCGUCGAAGAACACCUGGUUCCCUCGACACGAACACCGCCUGGUACUCUUCCUUCGGUGAGCUCUCCCCAUCAUGUGAAUUGCGCUACUACUGCAACAAAUGUGAAUUGCCAUUCUAAUGUGAACUGCAACGCUGAUGCCUCGCAUGUGAACUGUAGUAUGCAUAGUUUAUUUAGGCAGAUUACUGGGAGCACACUUUUUAUUCUAGGUAGUUCAUUCGUUCGGGCAGACAAAAGAAGUUCGGAUUGUUUACAUGGCAAGUUCACUUUAUAUAUUUUUUGGGAGAUUUGAUUCA